RNAcentral lists this ribosomal RNA (775 nucleotides) under uncultured Neocallimastigales. RNAcentral's name for it is "partial large subunit ribosomal RNA". It matches the Rfam family "Eukaryotic large subunit ribosomal RNA", at positions 20 to 643 of the family's 3401-position model. The record is from RNAcentral. Lineage: Eukaryota; Fungi; Neocallimastigomycota; Neocallimastigomycetes; Neocallimastigales.
CAUCACUACGCUAGAUGCAUAUCAAUAAGCGGAGGAAAAGAAACUAACAAGGAUUCCCUUAGUAACGGCGAGUGAAGCGGGAAGAGCUCAAAUUUGAAAUCUUCAAGGUUUUACCUUGACGAAUUGUAGUUUAAAGAAGUGUUUUCUGUUGGAGUUUUGGUAAAAGUUCUUUGGAAUAGGACAUCAUAGAGGGUGAGAAUCCCGUAUUUGACCGUUACUUUCCAGCUGUGUGAUACACUUUCAAAGAGUCGGAUUGUUUGGGAAUGCAGUCCAAAAUGGGUGGUAAAUUUCAUCUAAAGCUAAAUAUUGGCGAGAGACCGAUAGCGAACAAGUACCGUGAGGGAAAGAUGAAAAGAACUUUGAAAAGAGAGUUAAACAGUACGUGAAAUUGUCAAAAGGGAAGCGUUUGACACCAGUGUUGUUUAGUUGAAAAUCAAUUCAAUAGUUUUUGAUUCUAAGUAGUAUUGACUUCAUCAGCUUGCUGCUUUCUUCUCAGAAAUUAUUGAAUGCACUUUUCAGUUAACAAGUCAACAUCAAUUUCUUUUGUUGUAAAAGGGUAAGAGGAAGGUGGCUUGCGCUUCGGCUCAAGUGUUUAUAGCCUUUUAUCUCUGCAAUCGGAGAGAUUGAGGUCUGCAGCGUAGAUCCUUCGGGGUUAGAUACAUUGGUGCUAAGCUAUAGCCUUGUAUAGACAACUUGUUGACUAUGCUCAGUCAUGUAGCUUACUCGCUGAUGCUAUUUUACCUACGCUUAGGAUGUUGACACACGCGCGUGCUCG